This 819-nucleotide ribosomal RNA is filed under the name uncultured Actinomycetes bacterium. RNAcentral's name for it is "bacterial SSU rRNA". It matches the Rfam family "Bacterial small subunit ribosomal RNA", at positions 335 to 1167 of the family's 1533-position model. Lineage: Bacteria; Bacillati; Actinomycetota; Actinomycetes. The record is from RNAcentral.
ACUCCUACGGGAGGCAGCAGUGGGGAAUCUUGCGCAAUGGGCGAAAGCCUGACGCAGCGACGCCGCGUGAGGGAUGACGGCCUUCGGGUUGUAAACCUCUUUCAGCCCUGACGAAGCGAAAGUGACGGUAGGGGCAGAAGAAGCACCGGCCAACUACGUGCCAGCAGCCGCGGUAAUACGUAGGGUGCGAGCGUUGUCCGGAAUUAUUGGGCGUAAAGAGCUCGUAGGCGGUUUGUCGCGUCGGCUGUGAAAACUCGGGGCUCAACCCCGAGCUUGCAGUCGAUACGGGCAAGCUAGAGUUCGGCAGGGGAGACUGGAAUUCCUGGUGUAGCGGUGAAAUGCGCAGAUAUCAGGAGGAACACCGGUGGCGAAGGCGGGUCUCUGGGCCGAUACUGACGCUGAGGAGCGAAAGCGUGGGGAGCGAACAGGAUUAGAUACCCUGGUAGUCCACGCCGUAAACGUUGGGCGCUAGGUGUGGGAUCCCUUCCACGGGUUCCGUGCCGCAGCUAACGCAUUAAGCGCCCCGCCUGGGGAGUACGGCCGCAAGGCUAAAACUCAAAGGAAUUGACGGGGGCCCGCACAAGCGGCGGAGCAUGUGGAUUAAUUCGAUGCAACGCGAAGAACCUUACCUGGGUUUGACAUACACCGGAAAGCCGUGGAGACACGGCCCCCGCAAGGUCGGUGUACAGGUGGUGCAUGGCUGUCGUCAGCUCGUGUCGUGAGGUGUUGGGUUAAGUCCCGCAACGAGCGCAACCCUUGUCCUAUGUUGCCAGCGGGUUAUGCCGGGGACUCAUGGGAGACUGCCGGGGUCAACUCGGA